AGAGAGUAUUAUUUGUCUUUUUCAACAUGCGAUUAGAUUACAAAUAGAGAAGACACAAGUAAAGAUUAAUGCUCACAUAUGAAGCUGUAGAAUGUCUGCAGCAAGUGCAUGAUUCCAACUUUAUGAUACCAUAUCAUCCUACUACAGCUCCAUUUAAAGAUUUGUAAGGACAAGUCAUUUCCUAAAAACUUAGGUCGGAACAAAUGGAUGCGAUGAAAUUGCUAAUUGAUUCGAUUUGUCAACUUCUUUACACUUAAUAGAUAUUGAAUUUCACUGCUAGAUCUUGGAAUCACCUUCUUAUUAGCAGCACAAAGACAUUAUUUAUUCUUAACGACUUAAUACUAUGUAAGAUGGGCAAUAGCCAAAGAAGUACACAAAGACCAUAUGAAUUCUGAAUCACCUUUAUGGUCUUAUUGUGCCCUUAUAAUUAAGGGCUUUUACAAAAUAAGUAGGAGUAGUAUGUAUCUUAAACAGACUUAUAAGAAAUACUAUAGAAAGUACGUACAAUACUAUGUAUGUCUCCUGAUUCACAGUCAAAAUUUAUCUGGAAUUAAUAAAAGCAGUUUCAGUUGGGACAAAUAGAGUCAGGGAUUAAUUCUUGCCACCACCCCCUCUUUUACCCCUUGGGUCAUGUUUAGUAUUUGCGCCAGCAUCAUCAUAGUCUAACACUACAUCAUGACUUAAAAGCUUCCUUGAGUUUAUUCCGACUCCAUCCUUGACAAAACAUGCAGCAAUAAUUAGCAAAAUUUCUUCACUUGAAUCUAAUAAACUCAUGUAAUGACAAACUUAAUUGAAAGAAAACAUGCAUGUUCUCCCUUUCUUUAUAGCUUGCAUUGCAUUCAUCUACUGAUGAUUCUAUCUAUCUUCUUGUUUAGAACUUUAUUCAAAAUUAAAUAUACGCUAAUUAAUGCAUGCAUCAAGUUACCUCAUGGAGUGAGUACAUGGAGCUCUCGCCGGUGCCUAGAGAAGAAAUUAAGUAGAACAGUUAUAAGUACUCUCUACAUGAUUAAGCUCGUAAAAGACGUGAAAAUGCAUGAGGACAGGAUUGCUUACCUGAAGAUAAGUAAAUGAAGAGUACAAGGAAAACUAAAAGAGAGAUUUUGAUUCUAGGAACCAUGGCUUGUUAGUUGUUUCUUUCGAUAUAUAGUUGAAGCUAUAUAUGUUUUUAUGAUGAGAGGGAGAAAAAGGGCGGGGAGGGAGCUGCUUUUAUCUUACUCAGGCAGGGAGGGGGUGUAGAGAAAUUAAAGUGGGCUGUUG
This 1257-nucleotide long non-coding RNA is filed under the name Panax ginseng (ginseng). RNAcentral describes it as "long non-coding RNA (PGIN_LNC015943)". The record is from RNAcentral. Lineage: Eukaryota; Viridiplantae; Streptophyta; Magnoliopsida; Apiales; Araliaceae.